CUUCAGUCUGAGGCUUUGCAGUUCUUCCUCCACCAACCUCUUCACUUUGCUCCUCCUCCUCCUUCUUCUUCUCUCGUUGGUUUUCCUGUCCAGCUCUGCACCAGAGUGAUUCUGCAUCCAUCGGUGGUGAGUUGGUUUCAGAACAAGAGUCUUCAGAGGGUUUGUGUUUAGCAGAAUAAAAUCCCCAUGGUGCCUGUGUUGGUUAUGGUUUUCAGAAUAAGAGUCCCCAUGGUGCCUGUGUUGGUUAUGGUUUUCAGAAUAAGAGUCCCCAUUGUGCCUGUGUUGGUUAUGGUUUUCAGAAUAAGAGUCCUCAAAGAGUGUUUGAACCACUUUGUUUUCAGAAGGGUUGUCAGGGUGUCUUUGGUUGGUCUUAUCUUCACAAUAAGAGUUGUAAGAGUGCUUGGGUUGUCUAUUACAUUCAGAAUAAGAGUCCACAGAGUGUGUAUUUUCUUGUGUCUCCUCCUCUUCCUCGCCUUCUUUCAUUAUUUGCUCUUCCUCCCUCCUACCUCGAUUCUGCUGCUGAACUGUCACCUGAACCUCUUCUUCCACUUCUAUCUCCUCUAACUCAUCCAACUCUCCCUCUGUGUCUUCACUUUCAUUUAGUAAACCUUCAUCCUGCCUAUACUUUGCAUCCUCCAGCUGUUUUUCUUCCUUGUCUUCAUCAUCUGGCACUACCAUUCCAUGCUUCCCUUUCUGCCUCUUCAUCAGCUCUCUCUCCUCCAUCCCUCCCCCUGGCUCCUCCUCCUCUUCCUCUUCACUCACAUCUGUGCAGCUUUCAGGUUCAGUGUUUAACUUCAGACGUAUGCCUGAAUCAGUACCUUCCAUGUUCUCCAGUGACGUCCAGCUGAUGGGUCCCAGGGCUUCAGGAGGAGCAGAGGAGGUGGAGGAGAUUGCGGUGAGGAUGACCGUUCCACAGGGGUCCUGGAUCAGGUUCUCCUCCAUGAGCCUGGAGCAAAGAGGGGUGUGGGAGCUGACCUCCACACCGGGCCAGGAGGAGAGUGUGUGAGUGGCGUGUGUGCUGGUCCUGGCUCGGUGCUGCAGAUUGAUGGACUGGGUUAAGGAGCCUUUCUGUGGGGAGAAGCGAGGCAGCUCCAUCAGCUCCACGUACUCGCCCUCCGAGUCCUCGGUGUCCUCACUCGCUGCUCUCGAGGAGCUGACAUCUCUCACCAGAAGUUGCGACGUUUUCAUCAACAUGUCUCCAUCCUUAACAGGGGACUCGUUCUCCUUCUUCAGGGAGGGCUCGCUGGGGAAUGGUGGGUAGACCAGGUCCGCCCACGGGACCUUAAAGACGUCCCCGUGGGCGGAGAGGAGGCAGCUCUCAAGUCUCCGCGCCCCUCGCUGCUCCCCCUCCUUGUUGAUUGAGUCCAGCCAGGCCAUGCUGAAGAUGACGGCGGGGCUAUCUCGCACAUUUCCUGGUGCUCCACAUGGAGCGGAGGAGGUUGCAGCUCUGAUGCAGGACGCGCUGUGGUCUCAGGGAGGAGGAGCAGGUAGAAGUCUCCUGGAAGCGAAGGCCUCCUCCCCUGCAGCAGCUCUCCACCACACAGAGGACCUGAGGAAGGAGGAGAGAGGGGCCUGGAUGCA
Molecule: long non-coding RNA, 1581 nt
Organism: Gasterosteus aculeatus aculeatus (three-spined stickleback)
Lineage: Eukaryota; Metazoa; Chordata; Actinopteri; Perciformes; Gasterosteidae
Source: Ensembl